This 277-nucleotide ribosomal RNA is filed under the name uncultured bacterium. RNAcentral describes it as "partial 16S ribosomal RNA". It matches the Rfam family "Bacterial small subunit ribosomal RNA", at positions 28 to 303 of the family's 1533-position model. The record is from RNAcentral.
GAUGAACGCUAGCGGCAGGCCUAAUACAUGCAAGUCGAACGGUAAGUAUGAUAGCAAUAUUGUACCAAGAGUGACGUACGGGUGCGUAACACGUAUGCAACCUACCCUUUACAGAUGGAUAGCUCGGGGAAACUCGAAUUAACCCGUCAUAGUAUAGUUGAAUGGCAUCAUUUAAUUAUUAAAACUGAGGUGGUAAAGGAUGGGCAUGCGUCUGAUUAGUUAGUUGGCGGGGAACGGCCCACCAAGACGAUGAUCAGUAGGGGAACUGAGAGGUUGA